This 468-nucleotide ribosomal RNA is filed under the name uncultured bacterium. RNAcentral describes it as "partial 16S ribosomal RNA". It matches the Rfam family "Bacterial small subunit ribosomal RNA", at positions 28 to 507 of the family's 1533-position model. The record is from RNAcentral.
GACGAACGCUGGCGGCGUGCUUAAUACAUGCAAGUCGAACGGAAAGGCCCUGCUUUUGUGGGGUGCUCGAGUGGCGAACGGGUGAGUAACACGUGAGUAACCUGCCCUUGACUUUGGGAUAACUUCAGGAAACUGGGGCUAAUACCGGAUAGGAGCUCCUGCUGCAUGGUGGGGGUUGGAAAGUUUCGGCGGUUGGGGAUGGACUCGCGGCUUAUCAGCUUGUUGGUGGGGUAGUGGCUUACCAAGGCUUUGACGGGUAGCCGGCCUGAGAGGGUGACCGGCCACAUUGGGACUGAGAGACGGCCCAGACUCCUACGGGAGGCAGCAGUGGGGAAUAUUGCACAAUGGGCGGAAGCCUGAUGCAGCAACGCCGCGUGCGGGAUGACGGCCUUCGGGUUGUAAACCGCUUUCGCCUGUGACGAAGCGUGAGUGACGGUAAUGGGUAAAGAAGCACCGGCUAACUACGUG